GGUGCCCCCUGCAUGCAGUGGGAGCCGCUCCACCCUGGCCGUGUCCCCCGGCCUCCUGCUGUUCCUGUUUCCCUCCUUUGUGGCUCAGAAGGAGAGAGACUUUGAAGGCUGUGUAGAGGAGCCUGAGAUUUCAACUGACUGACUUGAGAUACAACCAGCCCUCGUGAAUGCAGUUCAGACUAAAAGCCCAAGGAAAGAGUGGGGGCUGCCAGGGCCCCCCCACCCGGCCAUCCAUCCACCAACAGCCCUGAGCUUCACACCAGGAGGGGCCAGGAAAGUCAAGUCUGGAAGAAAAGAUGCUCAGCUGAGUGUCGAAAUUCAGUGACAAAUGCAGGAGGUACUGAGGAUCCCAGAAGAAAGUGCAGUGGGCCCUGCUGGGCCUGGGAAAAGCUGGAUUUGAGCCUAGGCCAGAGCAGAAUGGAAAGAAGCUGCUAGCAGGACAGAGGAAAGCAAGAGGAGUAUUAUCUGGAAAAAUGUAACUCAAAAAUGAAGCAGAGAGACAAGCAUUCCACACCAAGUGUGUUCACGUGAAUUCCAAGUCAUUAGGACGGAGAAUGGGCUGUCACUGAAUCGAGGAACUGGAGAGAUUGUGAAAGUACCGAAUUUUAGAAGUGGAAAUUGCCUUGGCUUCUUGGGGCCCAACCUCCUCAACUUUUCAGCUAACGAAAUUCCAGCUUGGUGGGAAGUCUCGGACACUUGUUAAUCAGGAUGGGUGCUGUGGCCCCUCCCAUCUGCCCCUUUUGUCUACACUUCCUCCACUGCAGCCACGUGGGCUCCCAGACGCUCCUUGGACGCCCAGGCCUGCACCUGCCUCAGGUCCUUUGCACUGGUUGGCCUCCCUCUCUGGAGCCCCCUUCUCCCAGACUGCUAUGCGCCUCACUCCAUCACCUCCACCAAGUCUUCAGACCGAGUCUUCUCAGUGAGCCCCUCCCUGGCCACAGUUCUACCCCGGAAGUCUGCGUCUCCUCUCACCACACAGUCCUCUUCCAGAAUGCGGCACGCCUUCUGAUCUGUCGGACAGCUUAUUUUUCAUUACUUUUAAUGUUGUGUGUUGCCCUCUUCUAGAGUAGGCUGUAGGGUGAGGGUGUUGAGUUCGUGGAGGUUUCCAUAGCACCAAGAGUUGAGGGUACAAGACAGACACUCAAAAAGUACUUGUUGAAGGCUGGGUGUGAUGGCGUAUUCCUGUAACCCCAGCACUUGAGAAGCCGAGACGGGAAGAUUACUGAGAGUUUGAGGCCAGCAUGGACUUCACUGUGAGACAAUGUUUCAAACAGACAAGUAAUCGAACCGCCCCCAAAAUGAAACAAAACAAACACAAAUAUGUUGAACGAAUGCAAAAAGUAGGCAGAAAUUAGGAACCAGGAAACCUUUCCCCCGUCAGGAAAGAA
Molecule: long non-coding RNA, 1388 nt
Organism: Fukomys damarensis (Damara mole-rat)
Lineage: Eukaryota; Metazoa; Chordata; Mammalia; Rodentia; Bathyergidae
Exons: 6
Source: RefSeq, a predicted model, not a curated record